Molecule: ribosomal RNA, 218 nt
Filed under: Klebsiella pneumoniae
Lineage: Bacteria; Pseudomonadati; Pseudomonadota; Gammaproteobacteria; Enterobacterales; Enterobacteriaceae
Description: partial 23S ribosomal RNA
Rfam family: Bacterial large subunit ribosomal RNA
Source: RNAcentral
ACACGUGGUAUCCUGUCUGAAUAUGGGGGGACCAUCCUCCAAGGCUAAAUACUCCUGACUGACCGAUAGUGAACCAGUACCGUGAGGGAAAGGCGAAAAGAACCCCGGCGAGGGGAGUGAAAAAGAACCUGAAACCGUGUACGUACAAGCAGUGGGAGCACCUUCGGGUGUGACUGCGUACCUUUUGUAUAAUGGGUCAGCGACUUAUAUUCUGUAGC